This 1709-nucleotide long non-coding RNA is filed under the name Felis catus (domestic cat). Its description in RNAcentral is "lncRNA (ENSFCAG00000049805.1)". Lineage: Eukaryota; Metazoa; Chordata; Mammalia; Carnivora; Felidae. The record is from RNAcentral.
UUGCUAACAAGAUACCCACUGUUGAUGCCAGUGCCGGUGUUCCAUGGAACAUUCUGAGAAAGGCUGCUGUGAGAGGGAAGCAUGCCCCAGGGGUACUGGGGAGGAUGUGCAGGGCCUGAGUCUGUUGGGAUUCAAGGGAGUCUUGCAGAGGCGUAGCAGCUGAGCCGAGGCUUGAGGGAUGUAGAGGAGGUGGUCAGGCCGACAAGACUAUGUUUUAGGGUCAUCCCACAACUCUGUGUGCGUCUUGGGUGUGAGCUUCCAAGUAACUUUUCCUGAACCCCUCACCCCAUCCAGCCCAGGCCCUGCUGGAACAGCCUCCCAUUGGGAACUAGAACUGAUGACAUUAUAUACGACCACCAUCCGAGCUUCUUGAGACAACCAAUCCCACAGGAAGUCUUAGAAAGCUUUUUUUCCCUCUAAAUGAUCUUUUUUAGUGUCUGUCACCCAGAGUUGUAGAGAUUUUAUAUCAUCUAUGAAAUCCUAUUAAGAUUUUAUUUCCUUAUUUUCCUUUUAUGAUGACUGGGAUUUCCUUCCUGAGAGAAGGCUUCAGGAAGUGGCCGUGCCUUGGCAGGAGCCAGGCCCUGGGGAGGGUGUGUUGCUGAUGCAGCCACAGCCUCCGUGGCAGAGUUGCUGACAGGCAUUCAGAGCUGGCAGCAUCCUUCAAGGUCCUGUGGCCCAUUUUCCCCCUGAAGGUAUCCUCUCUAGAGCUUUGAGCAUCCCAUGACCCAAGAGAGGCAGUGAUGGAGCUUUGGAGUCAGGUGAGAUGGUCUAAGAGUCAGAGGGUCUGGGCUGAGACCUAGAACUUCUUGGAGGGCUGGCCUUUUGGGAUGCUACCUAUUUGGGUGACUUCAGACAGUUGUUUACAUGCUCUAAACCUUAUCUGUACAUGCAUGCACACAUGUUAUGGUGAAGAUAAGAUGUGAUAAGUGCUUUGUAGGCAGGGACCAUAGAAGGACUCCUAUUCUCUCCUUGAACAGAUCCAGUGACGGGCAACCUGCUACUUUGAAAAGUGGAGUGUUGAGAUCCGGUUGGAUCCAGAUGCCAUCAUUCCACAGAUGGACCAUCAAGGCCUUGUAGAGUGCAUGUCUCCCCGCUAUAUUUCUCCACAAUCUGCAUAAAGGAAGUGUAAGUUCCUCUGCCCCGCUUUUCUGUCCACCAACAUUGGAUCCUGGGUGGGUCGAAGGGAACAAACUUCUGUGGGCAUUAUGUUGGGGAUUCACGUUUACCAGCUGCCGGGAAGUUGGAUUUGUGGUUUCAGGGUACAGGAUGUUUCUGUGCGAACCAUGGUGAAAGUUGCUUUUGUGAAAUUAUGAAAGUAAUUUGUUGUUGUUUGUACGACAUGGGAGGCUGAAAUGUUUUUAUGAAAUUUUGGUGAUUUAAACAACAACAACUUUUUUUUUUCUCUUAAGCUCUGCUAAAAGGCAGAGUAAUUGAUGUUGAAUUUGGUGACCUGCCCUGAAAAAUGCAGUCAUUGGGACAGCCUGGAUCAGUCGUUCAGAAUGGAAACCAAAUGUUUUCUUCCAUAUAUGUCUAUAACGUAAGACUUAUCCCCCAUCUGGCAAAACCUCUUUCUGUUGAAAUGUUCAGAGUGGAAUUGCAUUAAUAAGGAGACAUCAAGCGAAAUUUACUACAUGCACGUUCAAUGGUCUCUGUAAACCGAGUUGCACGUAGGGCUUGUAUCAAUAAACAUCUCUACCUGCGGGUUUUCA